This 561-nucleotide long non-coding RNA is filed under the name Fukomys damarensis (Damara mole-rat). RNAcentral describes it as "lncRNA (ENSFDAG00000025035.1)". Lineage: Eukaryota; Metazoa; Chordata; Mammalia; Rodentia; Bathyergidae. The record is from RNAcentral.
AAACCAUAUAUGGUCAAUGGUUACACUUACUGGCUGGUACGCACAUGCAUCCCUGGGUGGUCUUGCAGGCACAGUAGUGAGUGAUAGGAGCCUGGAGAAAAGCUGGAAAAUCUUGCUGACUUGGUAGGUGGGGCCUCGAGCUGGUGUAUUUUAUUGCAGUGUGUCUCAAACUUGAGGAUACACGGAAUUACUUGGAGGGCUUGUUUGAACAGAUUCAGGGGCCUCCUCCCAGUGUGUCUGGGCUGGAGCUUAGAAUCUCUUUCUCACAGCUCCCGGGCCUGCAGACCACAUUUUGAGCAGCAUAGCUUUGACUAUUGUGGGACAAUGGCCCAUGGCAACACCACACGUUGGUCUGAGAUCUUCGAACAUUUAAUCCGCACAAUGUGAUUUUGAGGGAGGCAGGAGGUUUCACCCAGCGUGGCCUGUUUAGUACCAGCAAGUCUGUUCAUGAUCCGAAAUGCAGCUGAAAAAAAUAAAUAUAAUUAAAAAGACAACUCCGGCCAGCAUUCUCAGAGACUGCUUUAACAUGGGUGCAUAAUGAAUGCUAAGCUCAGUGCAGCA